UAAACCAAACGAUCCUCUUCAACCAACAACCCUAACCAAACCAUCUCUUCAACCAUCGCCGCCGCCUCACCCCCAUCACGUCACGUCCGUCACCUCACCUCCACCACGCCCAUAUCCCACAAAAUCCGCUACCUACACCCCUCUUCUCCUUUCUCACACUCCAUCUCUGAAGCUUGCAGGCUCCAUGUGCGAUUUCAGCGGAUUUCAUGCUCUUCAAGAGGAUUCGGAGACUCGAGACGACAACAAGCCUCAGUUCGCUGUCACGGAGAAGGUAGCCACACUCGUCCUCUCUUCGUCUUUCAUUUUAUAAGAAGUAGAAAUGUAGUCGUUCAAGUGUUUCUCGUCGUUUACUUGGUUUGGUUGGCUGGAAUGUGUUCUCUCUUCGUUUGUUGUAAAUUAACGUGAAACGACUAAUUUCGUCGAAUAUGUGUUUAACUCCCGUCGCCCCGUCGCUGCCGUCAAAAGAUAAUACUUGAACCCCAUUUUAUUCCUAUCAUUCAUUUUCGCAUUAGCAUAUAAGUGUUUAUUUUGGUUUGUUCUGUGAAGAUUUAUUUUAAAAUAGGUAGCCUAAUGUUGGCAGAAAAGUGGUGUUGUUUUAAGCUUUAAAGGUUGUUGGCAAUUGUUUGAGUACUACAGUACUGUUGGUUUAGCUGCUAAUAUGAUUUAUGCUUUGCUUCUCUCAUUAUGAUUACUUUAGGUUAGUACUAAUGCAAGAGCUGAUUCACAAGUCAGUAUGAGAAUGAAUUAGCAUGAAUAUUGUUUGGUAGCUGUGGAUAUACCUUUGGUUUAAAUUAUUCAUCAAACCAUUCAAUUAUUCAUCAUGAUUGGUCUGAAUAAGUGUCAAACGAAGUACUAAUCUGAGAUUGUGACAUGAGCAUGAGAUUAUGAUGUUUAGCCUGUCUGUCUUCCUUAAAAGCUGCUUGUUAAACCUGAGAGGAAUGUGGUCUAACCUCUGUCUGUGGAAGGCCAUUGCCUUAAGCCAGAACUAGGGCUAUUCUUUACAAACAGACCAUGUUUAAUUGAUCUGAUCUCUCCCUUGUGACCAUAACAGUGAUUACAGUUUGCUUAUGUGUCUGUUUAAGUGGGUUAAUUAAAGUCUUAAGAGGUCUUCUUUUGUUUAAGUAAAGUAGGAAUCUGUAAGUGUAGAAAUCUCUUAGGAUUCAUAGGUGUUAAAGGAAUUAAAACAGUGUUUAGGUUGCAAAGUUCACUAAUAAACUCAUUUAGCUUUCAAAAACUCAAAAUAUAGUGUUUCCAGUUUUGAAACCUCAUUGAUACAGCUUUCAGUUCAAAGUCUUUUUCUUAACCUUGCUAGACUGUCUGUGUAAUUGUAAAACUAAGAUGUAGUUGAGCCCCUUUCCUUUCUUUCUGAAAUGCCAAUAGCUUAAAGUUUGGAUAUGUGGCAACCUUGUAUAUAUGUGUUUUGUUAUGACCAAACUGCUAUUCUUUGUUCAAAAGUGUUAGUUUACCCUUUGGCUCUAAGUUCCCAGUUAUAUGUGCUUAAUUGGCAAUCUCUGUAUUUUUAAGUUUGGAAACGAAUAUGAAUUGGUUUAUAUGCCUAUGUACUCACAUGCAUGAAACAUGGAUUUGAGAAGAUCUAGUGACUGCUUUUGUUGCUUUUAUAUGUCCAUAAGUAUGAAUAAUGAACUUAUGAAGCCUGUUGAACUUGUUAAGGGUUCGCGAGAAUUCUUGGCUGUUUAAGCUAGCACAUUUCUGACUUGAAAAGUUCCUUUAAACGCUCUGUUAAAUCACUUAAGAAACUUAGUUAAGGGCCUACAUGUUUUAAUGACUAAAAGUUGCAUACUCUUAAAAACAAUUUCACCUGCUUGUUGUAUAACAGCUUUGUUGCAUUCUAGCUAUGCCUUAAUAUCACUAAAAUAAAUCAAUUUUGAAUAGCUUUGUGGGUUUAGAAAAGUCACUGUUCUGAUCGGUUUUUUUUUUUUUUUUUUAAUCAUUUUUGGCUGAACCAAAAGUUACUGAUACAUGAAGAUUAAAUCUACCAAACAUGUAAUUGUUUGAAUAGCUUCGUCGCUCGUCCAAAUUCUUCUUUGAAGUGUUUACGUGAAUCCAUUUUGGGAUGAGUUGGCUACUGUUGAUUACUACUUGUUGCUGUGAGAUUUCUUUAGAUUGCUGCACUUUAAAGGCUCUCAAAGUGCUACAUUUUUUGGAAAAAUUAGCUGCUGUCUUACUGUCUAAAAUUAGCUGCUGUCCAAUGUUUGUUAUAUCCUAUUGCUGCUGCUUUCUUGCCAUUUACCGCUGCCCUUCAAGGGCAGAUUGUUGGCCUGAAUGUUGAAUACUUUGAAGUUGAGCUAUGCCACUAAGUGAACUGUUGCAUUUUGGCCCAAAUGUGUUGUGUGUCUAGCCUAAACUUUGCCUAAUUUGCUGCUCCUUUUAAAGCUUUAAACCUGUUGAUAUUUGGUUUCUGCACUUGAGACCUCUCUGGUGCUGUUACAUAUUGGGCUCUUGGUUAUAAAGAAUAAAGGUUACACUUGAGUUAUUUUUUUUUUAAUCGAAAACAGAAGGCUGCUGGCACGCCCAGUGGGAAAUCAGAAAUAGUAAAAUAAAAAUAAAUCAUACGUUUAGUUUGGUUGCUGGUGUACCUCUUUUGGGUCUGAUUGUUGAGACUAAAAAUCAAGAAUAUGUUCCUCUAUUUCGAGCUUAAAUGACUUAAUUUUUAAGACUUUGGAACACUUAAACUUGCAUUAAAAAAAAGGGAGUGGGGCUCCUAUACUCAAGUUCGGGUGCAAUUAAUAUGCUAACUUAUUUUUUCCUUAUUUGAACCUAGAGAAAAUAUGCUAAGUAUCUCUGGAUAUAUGUUGUUUGGGAAUAAGCCAAUAUGAUGUUUUGAAGUCUAGAGUAAGCUUUAGUUUAAUCAAAAGUUCUUGUUGUACAUUUAGCUUGAAGCGUUUGGUUGUUUGAGUAGCAAUUGGGACUAUAAUGAUCUUCUUUUAAACUGAUCGUGGUGUUGCGUUUUGAGAAUAUGACACGAGAAAGCCUUGUCUUACAUUUGAUUCUUUUAUCUAGCUUUUAUCAAUUAAAGUUAUAUAGACUUCUUUUUCCUUGUUGAGAAUAGUUUCUAAUCCUUACUUUUAUCUUUUUUUUUCUUUUUCAUGAGGAACCUUGGGAGCAUUUGGAGUUAUGGCAACUCCGGAUUCUGCCCAUAUCAGAGAACAGUCAGUUGUAAGAUUUAAUUGCUCGUGUCUAGCCGUCCCCUACUUUCUCAUCUCGAGUUUCCGCUCUUCCUUUAUUCAAAAUUUCUAGCCUUCAUAUUGUUUGAUACGUGCUAUUUAUAUUAUUUGACUUAACACUCUUGUGAAUUUGUAUUUUUGUAGUUUUGUUUUGAAUUCGUAACUCGACUUAAGUAUGUUAGCAACUUUAGUUAUUAUC
Molecule: long non-coding RNA, 3384 nt
Organism: Lycium barbarum (goji berry)
Lineage: Eukaryota; Viridiplantae; Streptophyta; Magnoliopsida; Solanales; Solanaceae
Exons: 2
Source: RefSeq, a predicted model, not a curated record